This 779-nucleotide ribosomal RNA is filed under the name uncultured Neocallimastigales. RNAcentral's name for it is "partial large subunit ribosomal RNA". It matches the Rfam family "Eukaryotic large subunit ribosomal RNA", at positions 24 to 645 of the family's 3401-position model. The record is from RNAcentral. Lineage: Eukaryota; Fungi; Neocallimastigomycota; Neocallimastigomycetes; Neocallimastigales.
UAUCUCUGUAGAGUCUGCAUAUCAAUAAGCGGAGGAAAAGAAACUAACUAGGAUUCCCUCAGUAACGGCGAGUGAAGCGGGAAGAGCUCAAAUUUGAAAUCUUCAAGGUUCUACCUUGACGAAUUGUAGUUUAAAGAAGUGUUUUCUGUUGGAGUUUUGGUAAAAGUUCUUUGGAAUAGGACAGUCAUAGAGGGUGAGAAUCCCGUAUUUGACCAUUACUUUCCAGCGUUGUGAUACACUUUCAAAGGAGUCGGAUUGUUUGGGAAUGCAGUCCAAAAUGGGGUGGUAAAUUUCAUCUAAAGCUAAAUACUGGCGAGAGACCGAUAGCGAACAAGUACCGUGAGGGAAAGAUGAAAAGAACUUUGAAAAGAGAGUUAAACAGUACGUGAAAUUGUCAAAAGGGAAGCGUUUGACACCAGUGUUGUUUUCUCGAAAAUCAAUUAAAAAAAGUUGGAUUUUGUAUUGUUAAGACCUUAUCAGCUUACUGUACUCUUUUCUUGCUUUUUUUAAUGCACUUUUCGUUUAACAAGUCAACAUCAAUUCCUUUUGUUGUAAAAGAGUCAUUGGAAGGUGGCCUUCACUUCGGUGAAAGUGUUUAUAGCCUUUGGCUUCUGCAAUCGGAGAGAUUGAGGUCUGCAGCGUAGAUCCUUCGGGGCUAGAUACGUAGAUGCUAAUGUUAUAGUUUUUUAUAGACAACUUGUUGACUAUAAUUAAUCAUGUAGCUUACUCGUUUGCGCUAUUUUACCUACGCUUAGGAUGUUGAAGUCAUCGUAUCGCGC